GUUGAUCACGAGUUAGUCGGUCCUAAGUUCAAGGCGAAAGCCGAAAAUUUUCAAGUAAAACAAAAAUGCCUAACUAUAUAAACAAAGCGAAUAUAAUACACUUGAAUAAUUUUGAACGAAAGGGAAUACGGUUCCAAUUCCGUAACCUGUUGAGUAUCCGUUUGUUAUUAAAUAUGGGCCUCGUGCUCAUCCUGGCAACAGGAACGACCAUAAAGAAGCCGUCGAGAGAUAUCGGAAGAGUUUUCUUUUCUGUUUUAUAGCCGUACUACCAUGGAAGUCUUUCGCAGAGAGAUAUGGUAGAUGGGCUAGAAGAGCAUGACAUAUACUGUUGUGUCGAUAUUUUCUCCUCGGACCUUGAAAAUUUAUGGUGGGGACACGCAAACUUCUCAACAGGCCGUACCAAUAUCCGCAGCUGGUCUCCAAGGUGAAGAGUCUCUAGUCGAUAGAAUAAUGUAGGUAAGGGAAGUCGGCAAAUUAGAUCCGUAACUUCGGGAUAAGGAUUGGCUCUGAAGAUUGAGAUAGUCGGGCUUGAUUGGGAAACAAUAACAUGGUUUAUGUGCUCGUUCUGGGUAAAUAGAGUUUCUAGCAUUUAUGUUAGUUACUUGUUCCCCGGAUAGUUUAGUUACGUAGCCAAUUGUGGAACUUUCUUGCUAAAAUUUUUAAGAAUACUAUUUGGGUUAAACCAAUUAGUUCUUAUCAAUUAUAACGAUUAUCAAUUAACAAUCAAUUCAGAACUGGCACGGACUUGGGGAAUCCGACUGUCUAAUUAAAACAAAGCAUUGUGAUGGCCCUAGCGGGUGUUGACACAAUGUGAUUUCUGCCCAGUGCUCUGAAUGUCAAAGUGAAGAAAUUCAAGUAAGCGCGGGUCAACGGCGGGAGUAACUAUGACUCUCUUAAGGAAUCCGGUCUUAAUAAACCAGACCUGGUGGCACUACGACAAAAUCACAUUGAUGUGAUCGACAUACAAAUUGUGACAGACGGACACUCUAUGGAUGAUGCACACCAGCGCAAAAUCAAUAGAUACGACAGACCGGACAUACGAACUGAGUUGCGUCGCAGAUUCGAAGCCGCAGGU
RNAcentral lists this non-coding RNA (1075 nucleotides) under Drosophila sechellia. RNAcentral describes it as "Eukaryotic large subunit ribosomal RNA". It matches the Rfam family "Eukaryotic large subunit ribosomal RNA", at positions 1523 to 2318 of the family's 3401-position model. Lineage: Eukaryota; Metazoa; Arthropoda; Insecta; Diptera; Drosophilidae. The record is from Rfam by way of RNAcentral.